Long non-coding RNA from Strigops habroptila (Kakapo), 1573 nucleotides. RefSeq lists it as uncharacterized. The transcript has 2 exons. The record is from RefSeq and is a predicted model, not a curated record. Lineage: Eukaryota; Metazoa; Chordata; Aves; Psittaciformes; Psittacidae.
UAAGAAAAUCUUUCCAAGAGUCACACUACUUACCGCAGUAUUCGGGGAGGAGAAGGAAGGUACAUCACUUUCUGGUGGGUGGUGGGAAGGAUUAGGAGAGCAGUUUGCUAUUUUUUCAGACUAUUUUAGUAGAGGUGCAAUUCUUCCACAAACCCUAGGGAAUGCGGAAGGGGAGAGCAAUACAGGCAUUUGCCAGCAGCACUCAGUAUUCCCGUGCAAUGAGCGCAGUUUGUUGUGCCACUGCUCCCAGUAAGUCUGAGCAAACUCCCCCCCCCCAUUAGUGGUGCUGGGGAAUGGGUGAUGCCUGCUCCAAGCAGGAGUGAUCACUUGCUGGAAGCUCUUCUAAUAUGCUAAGAAAAGAGAGAGGAGUACUUAUCCAUUAAAAGAGGAGUAAAUUAUUUCUUGUUGCUAUUAGCCACAGCACUGUUGCAUUAUACAUGAGUCCUCACGGAUCAAAGCCACAGCACAAGGCAGCUUCUCCUUCUUGUUAAGGAUUAGUCUUUUUGUCAGAAAGAUGGCCUGUGAUAACCUCUGAUUUCCUCAGCAAAUUGGUGAUCUUUCACCCUUCCCUGUAAACAUUUCAUAACUGAUAUUAGUGAUAUUAAUCAUAGAAUCAUUUAGGUUGGAAAAGACCUUUAUGAUCGUAAAGUCCAACCACAGCACUGCUGAGUCCACCACUAAACCAUCUCCCUAAGUGCCACAUCUACACAUGUUUUAAAUCCUUCCAGGGAUGGUGACUCCACCACUGCCCUGGGCAGCCUCUUCUAGUGUUUGACAACCAUUUCAGUGAAGAUAUUUUUCUUAAUAUCCAAUCUAAACACCUCCUGGCACCACUUGAGGCCAUUUCCUCUUGUCCUAUCACUUGUUACUUGGGAGAAGAGACCGAUCUCCACCUUGCUACAACUUCCUUUCAGGUAGCUGUAGAGAUCAGUAAGGUAUCCCUGAGCCUCUUUCUCUCCAGCCUGAACAGCCCCAGUUCCCUCAGCUGUUUCUUACAAUACUUGUGUCAUAAACUUUCUUUUUUUUACCUGAGUUCCAGCCAAAGCCCUCUGUUCAGCCACACUUGUCUUCUUCCCUGCCUGCUCAUCUUUCAGUACCUGAGGAUGGCCUGCUCCUGUGCCUCAAGAUUUUCUUCUUCAGGAAUGUCCAGCCUUCCUGGACUCCUUUGCCCUUCAGAACAGCCUCCCAAGGAACUCUCAACCAGGCUCCUAAACAGUCUACAGUCUGACCUCAGUGAGUCCAAGGAGCAGACUGAGAACAGAUCCAUUCAUCUCCAUCCCAUCCAGCAGCCUGGUGUGCGGCGGCUUGGAGGCAGCAGUGAUGCCCUGGUGCUUUGAUUCAUGCAAUCAAUAAUCCCAAGACUUUACCUAAAAGGAUGGGAGAUGCAGUGUGACCCAGGAGAUGAGUGAUGGUAGUAAUGUGUGGCAAAGUAACUGGGCUACGGUUUGCGUCAACGGAUAAAACCUCCUGAGUCCAACCAAACGAUAAAUAUCCUUUUAUUUCACAUUUCUUAAAUCUUUGCUUUAAAGUUGACCUUAUUUUUAGUGGUAAAUAAAUAUGAACAAAUUGGGGA